GCUCCGAUAAUCUAGCCCGGUCAAGGAUGCAGCCCUCUCACGGCUGAGACCCGGGUUCAAAUCCCGGUCGGAGCA
Molecule: transfer RNA, 75 nt
Filed under: Microcaldota archaeon
Lineage: Archaea; Nanobdellati; Microcaldota
Description: tRNA-Glu
Rfam family: tRNA
About the family: Transfer RNA (tRNA) molecules are approximately 80 nucleotides in length. Their secondary structure includes four short double-helical elements and three loops (D, anti-codon, and T loops). Further hydrogen bonds mediate the characteristic L-shaped molecular structure. tRNAs have two regions of fundamental functional importance: the anti-codon, which is responsible for specific mRNA codon recognition, and the 3' end, to which the tRNAs corresponding amino acid is attached (by aminoacyl-tRNA synthetases). tRNAs cope with the degeneracy of the genetic code in two manners: having more than one tRNA (with a specific anti-codon) for a particular amino acid; and 'wobble' base-pairing, i.e. permitting non-standard base-pairing at the 3rd anti-codon position.
Source: RNAcentral